RNAcentral lists this small nucleolar RNA (270 nucleotides) under Aegilops tauschii subsp. strangulata. RNAcentral's name for it is "snoRNA Plant_U3". It matches the Rfam family "Plant small nucleolar RNA U3". From Rfam's summary of the family: Small nucleolar RNAs (snoRNAs) are involved in the processing and modification of rRNA in the nucleolus. Lineage: Eukaryota; Viridiplantae; Streptophyta; Magnoliopsida; Poales; Poaceae. The record is from Rfam by way of RNAcentral.
ACGCCCUUACUUGAACAGGAUCAGUUCUAUAGUAAUCGUACCGUUGCAUCCUUGAUUGGUAAGGAGGCAAGCACUAAAGCUUGGUUGAUGACACCUGGCGUCCUGACCUGUGGGCCAGAGCGUGAUUAACGCCUCAGAUUGGUCGCUGAUCAUGUGGCGGUAGAGGAUCAUUCCUGUUCAGCUCUUUUUCUUUUUUCUUUUUUUCUUUUUUUUUUGCGGGGCUGUUCAGCUCUUGUUGACCAGGGUGACUCACAGGUUGUCCGACAGGCU